AGCAAAGGGUGACACUUUGAUCCACGGGCCACAUUUGGUCGCCCAGUCCGUGGGGAGCGAAUGGCGAAACCACCACCUGCUUCA
RNAcentral lists this non-coding RNA (84 nucleotides) under unclassified sequences. RNAcentral describes it as "c-di-GMP sequence". It matches the Rfam family "c-di-GMP-II-GAG riboswitch aptamer". The record is from RNAcentral.